RNAcentral lists this ribosomal RNA (432 nucleotides) under uncultured bacterium. RNAcentral's name for it is "partial 16S ribosomal RNA". It matches the Rfam family "Bacterial small subunit ribosomal RNA", at positions 29 to 506 of the family's 1533-position model. The record is from RNAcentral.
AACGAACGCUGGCGGCAUGCCUAACACAUGCAAGUCGAACGAGACCUUCGGGUCUAGUGGCGCACGGGUGCGUAACGCGUGGGAACCUGCCCUUAGGUUCGGAAUAACUCCCCGAAAGGGGUGCUAAUACCGGAUAAUGUCUUCGGACCAAAGAUUUAUCGCCUUUGGAUGGGCCCGCGUUGGAUUAGCUAGUUGGUAGGGUAAAAGCCUACCAAGGCGACGAUCCAUAGCUGGUCUGAGAGGAUGGUCAGCCACACUGGGACUGAGACACGGCCCAGACUCCGACGGGAGGCAGCAGUGGGGAAUAUUGGACAAUGGGCGAAAGCCUGAUCCAGCAAUGCCGCGUGAGUGAUGAAGGCCUUAGGGUUGUAAAGCUCUUUUACCCGGGAUGAUAAUGACAGUACCGGGAGAAUAAGCUCCGGCGAACUCCGU